This is a small nucleolar RNA of Cavia porcellus (domestic guinea pig), 137 nucleotides long. The record is from Ensembl. NCBI's taxonomy places the organism in Eukaryota, Metazoa, Chordata, Mammalia, Rodentia, Caviidae.
UUGGCCCUGAAUCAAGGGUAGCAGUUUGUUGUAGCUGCUGGUUUUAAACAAGGGCCUAAAAAGAAGUCUUUCUAGAGUCUGUUGGCCAUUUCAGAACUUUGGAAAUGUAACAGUCAAUUCAUUAGAAAGCAAUUAGA